UAGCAACGAAGACAUUCCACAUUUCUACUAUCGCGACUCUUUAGUCGAGUAUAGGGCACAGGGAUCUAAAAAGAGAUAUUCAACCAGCGAUGUUUCGAAAAAAUGCGGAAUAUCUUUCCGCUAUAUUACGUCAGAGACUGACUAAGAAAACCAUUGUCAGUGACGAAGCCCCUUAAACAAUACAUUUUUAUUUGUGGGGGAAAAUGUCUAUGUAAUAAUAUAAUUCACGUUUACGAUUUUAUACG
Non-coding RNA from Cinara cedri, 245 nucleotides. The record is from the annotation of a GenBank genome assembly. Lineage: Eukaryota; Metazoa; Arthropoda; Insecta; Hemiptera; Aphididae.